RNAcentral lists this ribosomal RNA (468 nucleotides) under uncultured bacterium. RNAcentral describes it as "partial 16S ribosomal RNA". It matches the Rfam family "Bacterial small subunit ribosomal RNA", at positions 28 to 507 of the family's 1533-position model. The record is from RNAcentral.
GACGAACGCUGGCGGCGCGCUUAACACAUGCAAGUCGAACGGAAAGGCCCUGCUUUUGUGGGGUGCUCGAGUGGCGAACGGGUGAGUAACACGUGAGUAACCUGCCCUUGACUUUGGGAUAACUUCAGGAAACUGGGGCUAAUACCGGAUAGGAGCUCCUGUUGCAUGGUGGGGGUUGGAAAGUUUCGGCGGUUGGGGAUGGACUCGCGGCUUAUCAGCUUGUUGGUGGGGUAGUGGCUUACCAAGGCUUUGACGGGUACCCCGCCUGUGAGGGUGACCGGCCACAUUGGGACUAAGAUACGGCCCAGACGCCUACGGGGGGCAGCAGUGGGGAAUAUUGCACAAUGGGCCGAAGCCUGAUGCAGCAACGCCGCGUGCGGGAUGCCGGCCUUCGGGUUGUAAACCGCUUUCGCCUGUGACGAAGCGUGAGUGACGGUAAUGGGUAAAGAAGCACCGGCUAACUACGUG